This is a long non-coding RNA of Triticum aestivum (bread wheat), 1720 nucleotides long. RefSeq lists it as uncharacterized. The record is from RefSeq and is a predicted model, not a curated record. The transcript has 5 exons. Lineage: Eukaryota; Viridiplantae; Streptophyta; Magnoliopsida; Poales; Poaceae.
CUACUCCCGUGGCCUUGGGCCAGCCGCCGCGCAACCUCUGCUCCUCCCCGGCGUCGAACUCAGGCCGCCGCUCCGUCCCCCGUCCCCUCCGCCCUCUAGUCCUCCCGCAGCCUCCGCCUCCGCCGCCGCUCCACGGAUGGGAGUUAAUCGGGGGAGCAGGAAGUCCCCGUCCCCGCGUAUGGGCCCCCGCCACCCACCACAAUGGCUCGACCGCCCAGCGACGAGCUGCCCUCCGGGGCCUGACCAGUUCGGCUCUCGUGGCUGGUGGACGCGCCCUUGCUGUUGCCGACGCGCGACGCCGGCUCGCUGUGCCGCACUGGCCCUCCCAAGCGUCUUCUGUCAAUGAAGGACAUGAGAGAUCAAGGAGUUUCCAUUGGGACAUCAGGACAUGCUCCUCCAUCUCCUCCGCUGGACGACAUCCAAUAUCGCUAGGUAAAUUCCAGUUUUUGCAAAUUCCGUUUUUUGAUGUUUAAAACUGGAUGACACCCAACCCCUCUAUUGUUCUAUUUCUGCUUAAAUCUGAUUUGGUUGUUCAGUUCAUCCGCUUACGGACUGAUAAAAAAAAUGGAAAUGAAGAAGAAGAAAAGAAGAAUAGCAAUAUUAUCAUAUGCGAGGUUGUUAAUUCAUCAAAGGCGGCUCCUGAGUAUACAUACCGUGUUUAUCUCGCCUGCCUUCUUAGGAAAAAUCCUAUACUCAAGGUAUCAUUCGAAGGGGCGACAUACCCAAUUCUCGGAUUCCUCAAACAACAGAUGUAGUGUUGUCAGUCUCUGAAGAUUCGAAUCCGUCUGCUCCUAGGCAAAAACAGAGGGAUGAUUGUGAUAUACUAAAAGCCACAGUGUAUUGAGGCUUAGUGGAGUCAGUCACCAGCCUCUUCGUGUUUGAACAACAGCAUCAAGCGGCGCCAAAACAUGUCAGUUACUUUCAUCUUGGGCAUAGCCAACCUUAUUGGUGGACUGACUCUCAUUUUUCAGAAUAUUGCUGAUCUGAGAGAUAUCCGAGACAUGAACGAGGAAAAAAUGAGAAGGUCGUCCACUAUUGGCUCAAGCUCAGGAGGUGGUCGAAAGCCCGGCUCCACAUGGUUCUAGCACUACCGUCACACAUGGUGUUCGGGCCACUUCCACCAGUGCUCUGCGGGUUGUCGUUCCACAAGAGCAAUGACGGGGAGAACAAGAUGAUGAACGUCGCCGGUGCUUUGCUCGCCUGCAUCGCGCUGCUUGCGCUCGGGACAUGCAUGUCCACAGAAGAGCCAUGACAUACUUCAAGACUCUAAUUUACUACCUGACCAUCGCCGUGAGCUUGUCCGGGAUAUCGUACGUUGCCGGUGUGCUGAUCACGAGGCUUCUCAAACACUUUGGCACCAUCGAUCUAGGUGGUGCAUUGGCUCCUCAUACUUCUCUAGGCCUGUUGUUCUCUCAUUUAGGUCGUGCACAUACGUCUGCCUAGGCCUCAAUAAUCUAAUGGCUCAAGUUCCUCGGAGCACUGAUGGUAUAAAAAGAGAAGACAUGUGUGAGUUCAAGAGAAAGUGCAUGAAGAAACAUCUGCUGUUUUAUUGAAAUUCUGGUGUACAUACUAUCAUUUAUGUCAAAAUGUGUGAUCUUGGUCAGUUGAGUUCAUCUGUAUUGUGGAAUAUUACUAUCAGUUAUUUUAGAGCAGGAAAAAUAACAAGUCCAGUCUUCCCUUCCUUUUUUCUGAGGAAAAAGAUGCCAUUCUUUGGAAGAUU